GCGGUGAAACACAGCUUCCCAUUCAUUUCCAAAGGAAGGAAAGCGGUGAGAGGCGGAGAGGGCGGGGGACCUUUGGGCGGUGCGAAGGUGGCGUGGGAGCCGGUGAAAAAGAUCAACGUUUUUCAACUUUAUGCAAAUCGCUAGCGGCGACCGCUGGGCGAUGACCAAUCAUAUCGAUUGGUUCCCAUGACGAAUUUGACUCCACGCUACCCAAGGCUUGGAGACUUUCUUCAGCAAAGAUGGCUGACAAAAAUGCUAUGAUGGAAGCACAUGGACUCCUGAAACAACCAGCAAACCAGACUGUCGUCUUGUGAAACAUGUAAUUGUCAAUACCUUCUGAUGUAAAGAAUCUAGCUAGCUAAAGCAUUUACUGCAAAUUGAAUGUACAAUUUUGUAUGCUUGCCUUGCUGAUAUUUGCCAUGCAAUGGAGAUAGAUUAAAUAACGUAGCUAGCUAUGUUCUUGCUUAUUGUGCAGUGGAGGAUUAAAAAAAAUACCUGUAUGCCUAUGGAUGUGUAGCUAGUUAUGUAGCCGAUCUGUGUAUGGUCCAUAAAACAUUUGGUAUACAUAUUAGUUCAGAACCUAGCUAUGAACCUCAGCUAUCAUAACCAGUUGUAUCAACUUCAAAACAGUCUGAAUUACAUUAAUGAAACCUAUGGAUUACCAAAGUCUAAUGGUUUUAAAUGACUGCUUUGUAUUGUCUAGAAACUCACUUGUAGAUUUCGCUUGCAGUAGGUCUCUUAAAAAAGAGAAGCCGUGCAAGGUUAUUAAACAGAGGUGCCUAGUUAUUCUUCUUUUGUUGAUAUCAGGUAACGUGCACCUAACCCUGGCCCUGAUAUGCAAUGUCUCCAAAUGUCCCCUCUGAUUUUAAAUCAAGAUCUGGUUUUGGUAUUUUUCAUUUAAAUGUACACAGCCUGUUGUCAAAAAUUGAUGGGGUUAGGAUUUGGGCUAAAUCAACUGAUGCUGAUGUAAUUGUGUUUUCUGAAACCUGGCUCAGCAAGUCUGUUUUUGAUAAGGAUAUUUGUAUAAGUGGUUACAAUGUUUAUCGCACUGAUUGGGUUAAGAAAGGUGGAGGUGUGGCUAUAUAUGUAAAAAUCUAAAUUCCCUGUAAGUGUGGCAAAGUCUGAAACUAUUUGUAAACAGUUGUAAUUUCUUGCUUUGAAUAUUGAGUUUUCAAAGGGCUUCUCUAUAACUGUGAUUGGCUGUUAUAGACCACCCUCUGCUCUCUAUAACUGUGAUUGGCUGUUAUAGACCCCCCAGUGCUCUCUAUAACUGUGAUUGGCUGUUAUAGACCCCCCUCUGCUCUCGGUGAUGCAUUUUCUUCUCUGAUGAACCUUAUGUCUAAACUUCUUUACAGUGAAAUGAUCUUGAUUGGUGAACUCAACUGGUGUUGGUUAAAGCUGGUGUCUGAUGAUUUAAAAAUGUUUUGUAAUUCUAUGAAUCUUACCCAGUUGAUUAACUCGACCAAAUCUUAAAUGCCCAGAAAAAUCUACCGUGAUUGAUUUGAUAUUGACAAAUGUUCCACAUAAAUAUUCUGCGGUUGGUGUUUUUUGUAAUGAUUUAAGUGACCAUUGUGCUGUUGUUGCUGUUAGAAAUACUAAGGUUCCAAAGACAAACCCACGUUUUAUUCGUAAGAGAAAUGUGAAGCGUUUUAAUGAGCAGGCUUUCUUUCAUGAUUUGUUUUAUUUUGACUGGAGCAAGAUUGAGCUUAUCCCUGAUGUGGAAACUGCCUGGAAAUUCUUUCAUGAUGGUUUUUCCCAAAUAGUAAACAAACAUGCCCCAUUCCGCAGGUUCAGGGUUAAAGGGCGGGAUAAUCCAUGGUUUUCUUCUGAGCUGUCUUGUAUUAUUCACAACUGUAAUCUAGCCUGGGCUAAAGCAAGGAAAUCAUGUUCUGAUGCUGAUUGGCUUAUUUUUAGGCAGUUACGAAACAAGUGUUAUUUUCUUCUCAGGAAGGCCAAGUCUGAAUAUUUUAUAUGUCUGUUACCACUGAUAACCUGAAUGACCCUAGAAAGUUUUGGAAGGCUAUUAAGUCUAUGUCUGGUAACAGUAAUGUUAAUGAAUUACCAUCAUGUGUUUUGAAGGACUCUGUUGCUAUAUAUGACAAAACUGAAAUGCUGAAUUGUUUCAAUGAGCAUUUUGUUUCAUCUGGUAGGCUGUUUGAUUCAGUGUCCUCUGUCUCUGUACAACCCUGUGUGGAUGAACCAGUGAGAGCUGGUCAAACUUUCAGUUUUUUGCCAUUCUCAGUGCAUUUGGUACAGAAAGCCCUGAAAUCCUUAGAUCAGAGAAAGCCUGCAGGUCCUGAUCUUUUGGAUCCCUGCUUUUUAAAUCUGGCAGCUGAUUCCAUAGCUGAACCACUUACAUAUCUGUUCAAUCUAACCCUGGAAUGCAAUGAAAUUCCAAAGAUCUGGAAAUCAGCAUUUGUCCUACCACUCUUAAAAGGGGGAGAUCCAACUCUUUUAAAUAAUUAUAGGCCAAUCUCAAAGCUGUCACCCCUGGUGAAAAUACUUGAAACCCUUGUAAGUGAACAGCUAAAAGAGUUUUUAUUUACUAACUCUAUUUUAUCAAUGUACCAAUUGGGCUUCAGGAAGAAGCAUAGCACAUUUACAGCAGCCAUGAAGGUUUUAAAUGAUAUCAGCCAUUGACAAAAAACAGCACUGUGUCUCACUUUUUAUUGAUCUCUCUAAGGCUUUUGAUACAGUUGAUCAUGCUAUACUAAAAGGCAGAGAUUGUCGAGUGUAGGUCUUUCGGAGCAUGCAGUUGCAUGGUUUGCUAACUAUCUGUCUGAUAGAACUCAGUGUACUCAAUUUGAUAGGCUCGUGUCUGUUAAAUUGUCUGUCUGUAAUGGUGUGCCCAAAGCCUCUGUACUUGGUCCUCUCUUAUUCACUAUUUAUAGAAAUAAUUUAUACAAAAAUGUCCAAAAUGCGCAACUUCAUUUUUAUGCUGAUGAUACUGUUAUUUACUGUUGUGCCUCGUCUCUUACAAAAGCUUUCCAGAAAUGCUUUUUAUACUGUUCAACAUACCUUGUGUCAAUUGAAGCUUAUCAGUACGAUUAUAACCCUUUUCCCAUAGCCAAUCCUGGGAACAACAAAAUCCUAGGUGACUGGUUGGCCAUGCCAUGACCAAUGAUUUAUAAGAGAAUUAGGCCUUAAGUUAUCUAAGUCAAAACAUUGAUUGUAAUGUAUUAUGUUUUGUUUAAAUAUGUAUAUUCCAUUUGAUUUAUAGCCCUGUGUAAUUUGAGG
Long non-coding RNA from Oncorhynchus tshawytscha (Chinook salmon), 3237 nucleotides. The record is from Ensembl. NCBI's taxonomy places the organism in Eukaryota, Metazoa, Chordata, Actinopteri, Salmoniformes, Salmonidae.